Oncorhynchus nerka (sockeye salmon) is the source of this 2771-nucleotide long non-coding RNA. RefSeq lists it as uncharacterized. Lineage: Eukaryota; Metazoa; Chordata; Actinopteri; Salmoniformes; Salmonidae. The record is from RefSeq and is a predicted model, not a curated record. The transcript has 2 exons.
UAUGUAACUCAUUUGGAAUGAUAGACAGGAUAUAGACUACACAGGACAGGACACCUGAUAGACAGGAUAUAGGCUACACAGGACAGGACACCAGAUAGACAGGAUAUAGGCUACACAGAACAGGACACCUGAUAGACAGGAUAUAGGCUACACAGGACACCUGAUAGACAGGAUAUAGGCUACACAGGACACCUGAUAGACAGGAUAUAGGCUACACAGGACACCUGAUAGACAGGAUAUAGGCUACACAGGACACCUGAUAGACAGGAUAAAAUGUCGGAAAACAUGUAAUAAUGGCAGGAUGUGAUGUGAAAAAGGGAGAAGUAAAUUGAAAACAAGACUAAAAGAAAAUAUAUACCAGCUCAUGUGUGGUGUGAAAGAGGUAUUCUGCUGUAUAUAUUGAAACACACUUAUAUAACCAACAACAAUGUACCACUGUUGGCUACGUGUGCAAAAAGACAGUUUCAUCAGAGAUGGAAAGAAAUGUUGACUGAAUCUUCGGGUUUAUUCGGCUUGUUUUAUAACAUUUUAAAACAUUUCAACAGACCUACAGUUCUAAAGUUAUUAAUUCACAAUAGAGGUGAUUAAUGCAUCUGGAGGUGAUUCUAAAAUGAGUCGAAUUCCAAAUAGUUGUCUCAGUCUUCUGUGAUUCAGUCGUCCUGCUUCUGUCCCAUUCACAACCUUCAGUCACAUUACCACCCCCGCUACUACAACCCGGGCCUCAAACCCAGACCCAUCGACCCCGGCACCCUUAACCAAUCAUAUGCCCCAGAUGGAGGGGAUUCCAUACAGCCAGUCACUGGGGGCUCAGGGAUUGGUCAGGACUGGCAGUAACAGAAUAGCAGAGCAGAUGAUGGGAUUGUCAUACCUGUCCGACGCACCUUCCACAGAGACUACCGGCCAACACAGUCUCCUACUGCAACAGGUAUGUGGAUACUCCGCUAUGUUUCUGUUUUCAUCAGAAUGCACAUGUUGCAGUUAGUUCAAUGUUGAAAAUCUUUCUAUUUUCUUGCAUCCCAUUUUCUCCUUCUUAAAGUGAAUGUUAUUUCCUCCCUCCAAACCCUUACAUCCCAACUCCCUCUCCUACAGAACUUUUCUCCCUUCCUCCCGGCCCCCACCCCUGCGAAGCCAAGUACACCAAGUACGUAUUGACUGCGGCGGGAGAGGAACAACAUUGCUAUGAGGAAGAGCCGAGACAAGGCCAGUUGGCACAUACAGCUCACCCACCAAAGGGCUCUGCAGCUGCAAGAGGAGAACCACCGGCUGCAGAUACUCAUAGGGAAAAUCACCCAGCUAUUGGACACAUUGGACCAGCAAUCAAACACAUCUUGUCACAGAGUCACCUACGGCCCAGGGAAUCUUCACACGGUCCUUUGCUGUUGUUCUGGGAUUGAUUUGCACUUUUCGCACCAAAGUACGGUCAUCUCCAAGAGCCCGAACGCGUCCUCUGCCUGAGCGGUAUGACGACUGCGUGGUCCCAUGGUGUUUAUACUUGGUACUAUUGUUUGUACAGAUGAACGUGGUACCUUCAGGCGUUUAGAAAUUGCUCCCAAGGAUGAACCAGACUUGUGGAGGUCUACAAUUGUUUUUCUGAGGUCUUGGCUGAUUUCUUUUGAUUUUUCCCAUGAUGUCAAGCAAAGAGGCACUGAGUUUGAAGGUAGGCCUUGAAAUACAUCCACAGGUACACCUCCAAUUGACUAAAAUGAUGUCAAUUAACCUAUCAGAAACUUCUAAAGCCAUGACAUAAUUUUCUGGAAUUUUCCAAGCUGUUUAAAGGCAGAGUCAACUUAGUAUAUGUACACUUCUGACUCACUGGAAUUGUGAUUCAGUGAAUUAUAAUGAAAUAAUCUGUCUGUAAACAAUUGUUGGAAAAAUUACUUGUUAUGCACAAAGUAGAUGUCCUAACUGACUUGCCAAAACUAUAGUUUGUUUACAAGACAUUUGUGGAGUGGUGGAAAAAUGAGUUUUAAAUGACUCCAACCUAAGUGUAUGUAAACUUCUGACUUCAACUGUACCUGCUUCCAUCUGGAAGUAUUCCAAGUGUUGACAUAUCUAAUCCUAAAGUCAACAAAGGUUGUGAAUCAAAGAACAAAACAUUCCAAGAUACAGUAGGAUAUCUUUGUGUUGUCUAUGGUUAAAUGUGACACAGAUUUCAGUACACUAUCUAACUACACUGUUUUCCUUUGGAAAUGACAUGGCACGAAUGAUUGACGAAUCUGAUUACCCAAUACUUUAUAUGGUAUCAAAAAGAUUCCCUGAAAUAAGCACCACUACUGUUGUCACAAAUAUUGUUGAAAGGAAAGAAAUGACCAGUUCCAUAAAUACCACAAUAUUAUUUAGUAGAUAUCUGGCAAAAGUUAAGUAAUUGUGCAAUUACAUUUCUUUGAAAUAAGUAUUUUGAUGGCUAUUUCUCAACAUUCUGUGUUAUGAUUUUUUAAAAUAUUUUUUUUACUAACACAACAUUUACAUACUGUGCAUUCAUAAAGUAUUCAGACCUUUUGACUUUUUUCACAUUCUGUUACAUUACACAAUAUUCUAAAAUAGAUUAAUUCGUUUUUUUCCCCCUCAUCAAUCUACACACAAUACCCCAUAAUGACAUCACAAUACCCCAUAAUGACAUCACAAUACCCCAUAAUGACAUCACAAUACCCCAUAAUGACAUCACAAUACCCCAUAAUGACAUCACAAUACCCCAUAAUGACAAAGCAAAAACAGGUUUGUAGAAUUUUUUUGCAAAAUGUAUUAAAUAAUAAACAUCGCAUUUACAUUUA